UACGUAGGGACCGAGCGUUGUCCGGAAUCAUUGGGCGUAAAGAGCGUGUAGGCGGCCAAUUAAGUCCUGCGUGAAAUCUCGGGGCUCAACCCCCGAGCGGUCGUGGGAAACUGGUUGGCUAGAGUGCGGGAGAGGAGAGUGGAAUUCCUGGUGUAGCGGUGAAAUGCGCAGAUAUCAGGAAGAACACCCGUGGCGAAGGCGGCUCUCUGGAACGCAACUGACGCUGAGACGCGAAAGCGUGGGGAGCAAACAGG
This 254-nucleotide ribosomal RNA is filed under the name uncultured bacterium. RNAcentral describes it as "partial 16S ribosomal RNA". It matches the Rfam family "Bacterial small subunit ribosomal RNA", at positions 524 to 776 of the family's 1533-position model. The record is from RNAcentral.